RNAcentral lists this ribosomal RNA (253 nucleotides) under uncultured bacterium. RNAcentral's name for it is "partial 16S ribosomal RNA". It matches the Rfam family "Bacterial small subunit ribosomal RNA", at positions 524 to 776 of the family's 1533-position model. The record is from RNAcentral.
UACAGAGGGGGCAAGCGUUGUUCGGAAUUACUGGGCGUAAAGGGCGCGUAGGCGGCCUGUUAAGUCAGACGUGAAAUCCCCGGGCUCAACCCGGGAAAUGCGUCUGAUACUGGCAGGCUUGAAUCCGGGAGAGGGAUGCGGAAUUCCAGGUGUAGCGGUGAAAUGCGUAGAUAUCUGGAGGAACACCGGUGGCGAAGGCGGCAUCCUGGACCGGCAUUGACGCUGAGGCGCGAAAGCCAGGGGAGCAAACGGG